Molecule: long non-coding RNA, 2110 nt
Organism: Brassica rapa (field mustard)
Lineage: Eukaryota; Viridiplantae; Streptophyta; Magnoliopsida; Brassicales; Brassicaceae
Source: RefSeq, a predicted model, not a curated record
AGAGUGUUUUUUCUAUAUUUCUAAACUAAAAAGCCUUCAAAAAAUGUAAUUAAUGUUUUUAAAAUUCAUAAUUUUCAUUAUUAGUUGAAAAAAGUGCAUAGAAAAUAUAAAAAUACAUUUUUUUAAAACAAUUUUUUUCUAAAACAUGUAUCUUUUUGAAACGGAGGGAGUAUUGUUUAGACAUCUCGUUUCAUAUUCAAGAUCUAACGGUUCACAAUACUUAAUUAGCCAUAUUUUGCAUUUUUGUUCACUAAGUUAAUUUAAUAAUUAUAUUUGUAUAAAUAUAUAUGUAUAUAAUAUUCAAACUACAAUAAAAAUAGAAAAUAUUUAGAACAGAAAUGUGGUUAUUUGUCAUUGUAGGUUAGUAUUGUAUUUUAGUUAAUGUCAUUAAGAAAGCUGCCUCCACGAACUUAAACGGCUCUUGUAAUUUACAAAAGGAUACUAAAUAUUAUGAAUAAAUGGUAGUAUAUCCUAAGAUGUAAAUGAAAAUACGAAACCGUAAGAUGUUUUUAUUUUUCAUAAGGAAAGAAAAACUAUUAAAAAUGAUGUGGCAACCAAGAGAUGAUGUUAAUCAGCUCGGCUUGAAUAAUUCGGCUGAGAGGACAAGUGCGAAAUUUUUGGCAGCACGUGUUGACUGACGAGCAGACACGCACGGGAUUUUUAUCUCCUCAACCGCACUUCCCAUAUUUCUGUCCGAAAUUUAGAUGGUUAGUUGUGAUCCCUAGCCUGUGCUGACGUGGAAGCUUCUGGUUGGUACGUUUUAACAAACUCUAGUGCGCGCUGUUUUGGUCGGAGCCAAAUCGGGUUGGUUCCGUCCAAUUUGUCACGAGAAAGACUCAUUGUGUGGUCUCUGUUAAGGUUGUAGUCACCUAAUUAUAUUGCAAAGUCGUAAGAUUUCGUUUUCUAAUGUAGUACUAUUUACUUUUCUCGGUUGGGUCCAUUGGCCAUACUAAUUUCCGUGGUGAGGAGAGGAACUCGUAGUGCCUCAUCAAAGUCGGUUCCUAGUACAAAUUCGUUUACUAAAACUAUCAAAGUCAGCACCAAUCAUUUUCCGCCGCCAGGAAUGUUAAUGGGCUUUUAUCAAUUUUAAUGGGCUUCUUUUAUUGGGCUUGAUAGUUAUGAGAUUCUUCUCACAACGAUGCCGUUUUGUGCAGCGACGAACGGGUUUCUGCCAGAGAAAGAUAGUAAUUUUAAAUAUCUAAUCGAAUUAAUUUUCAUGCGAAUUUUUUCUUCGAUUUCGUCAUGUGCGUUAAUUCAUGAUUAUCAGAUAGUGUUUUGUUUAAAUUUUUGUUUUGGAAGGGAAACAAGACAGAGAUUGUGAUCUGCAGCUAUGAUGAUCAUAUCCUUGUGAGUGUCUCUGUAUCUGUACUUCGCUUGAUGUUUGACGUCACUCUUAUGAAACUCCACACAACACUUUGUUUCCAGGUCAUAGCAACACAGAUUGGAGCCAUGGGGACUAUAUUGCACGCAAGGUCUCUCUCUCACUCAAAUAUAAAUUUUAUACUUCCUUGUACUAUUUCUUGAGGAGUGAACUUGAGAGUUGUUGACUUGAUCACGUUUUACAUGUGAUAGUUUUAAUUAUUGUUCAUGCUUCUAAGGUUGUCAUGAGGAAUGAAGUUGAGUGUUCUUGAUUUUUUUUUUUUAAUUUGUAAUUUUGUUCAUAAUUCUAAUAUAGGUUGUGCACAUCUGAGUUAUAUAUAAUGUUUCAAACGGGUGUGUCUUUGGUGACAGGAAGGAAGAAGGGAUGUCUGUUGAACCAACAUUUAUAUAGAAUCCACGUUUAUAUAGAAUCUACGCCUUACUUAUGCCCACUAUAUUCUUAAGCCAAUGCUGGUAGCAACUGCUCGAAGACUCAUUGAUCACAUAAGUUCUCAUGUUCCCUCGAAGCCUUUGAUUCUCUCGCUUGGUCUCAAUGAUCAUUCUUCGGAGACAUUGAAGGAAAUAGAAGCAGCUGUGAUCGAUAAUCGCCUAUGGUAAUUUGAUAAUGAAAAGAUGUUUUAUGUGUUUGGUUGAUGUAACUAGUAAGUUGUGGUAAUUUGUUUCUAUAAGUUCGGUAAUUCAACGAUAUCAAAGACCUUGCUUCUAGUAAAAAGGUUGCCAAUUUUCCUCU